RNAcentral lists this ribosomal RNA (458 nucleotides) under uncultured bacterium. RNAcentral describes it as "partial 16S ribosomal RNA". It matches the Rfam family "Bacterial small subunit ribosomal RNA", at positions 338 to 795 of the family's 1533-position model. The record is from RNAcentral.
CCUACAGGAGGCAGCAGUGAGGAAUAUUGGUCAAUGGGCGGGAGCCUGAACCAGCCAAGUCGCGUGAGGGAAGACGGUCCUAUGGAUUGUAAACCUCUUUAGGCGGGGAGCAAUGCCGGGCACGCGUGCCCGGAGGGAGAGUACCCGCAGAAUAAGCAUCUGCUACUCCGUGCCAGCAGCCGCGAUAAUACGGAGGAGGCGAGCGUUAUCCGGAUCUAUUGGGUUUAAAGGGUGCGUCGGCGGAUUUUUAAGUCAGGUGUAAAAGGUCCGGGCAAAACCGGACCGGCCGUUGAAAUUGGGGAGCUAGAGUGGGCGAGAGGGAUGCGGAAUGCGUGGUGUAGCGGUGAAAUGCAUAGAUAUCACGCAGAACACCGAUUGCGAAGGCAGCAUACCGGCGCCCGACUGACGCUGAGGCACGAAAGCGUGGGGAUCGAACAGGAUUAGAUACCCGAGUAGUC